Rattus norvegicus (Norway rat) is the source of this 75-nucleotide small nucleolar RNA. Ensembl annotates it as Small nucleolar RNA SNORD83. Its record names the gene Snord83. Lineage: Eukaryota; Metazoa; Chordata; Mammalia; Rodentia; Muridae. The record is from Ensembl.
GCCAAAUGAUGUGUGUUUGAUAUAGGAGCACUGUGUGCAAGGACGACCCUCAUCUAUCACCCAUGACUGAUGGCU